UACGGAGGGAGCUAGCGUUGUUCGGAAUUACUGGGCGUAAAGCGCACGUAGGCGGCUAUUCAAGUCGGGGGUGAAAGCCCGGGGCUCAACCCCGGAACUGCCCUCGAAACUAGAUAGCUAGAAUCUUGGAGAGGCGAGUGGAAUUCCGAGUGUAGAGGUGAAAUUCGUAGAUAUUCGGAAGAACACCAGUGGCGAAGGCGACUCGCUGGACAAGUAUUGGCGCUGAGGUGCGAAAGCGUGGGGAGCAAACAGG
RNAcentral lists this ribosomal RNA (253 nucleotides) under uncultured bacterium. Its description in RNAcentral is "partial 16S ribosomal RNA". It matches the Rfam family "Bacterial small subunit ribosomal RNA", at positions 524 to 776 of the family's 1533-position model. The record is from RNAcentral.